This 496-nucleotide ribosomal RNA is filed under the name uncultured bacterium. RNAcentral describes it as "partial 16S ribosomal RNA". It matches the Rfam family "Bacterial small subunit ribosomal RNA", at positions 29 to 507 of the family's 1533-position model. The record is from RNAcentral.
AUGAACGCUGGCGGCGUGCCUCAUACAUGCAAGUCGAGCGAACGGACGAGAAGCUUGCUUUUCUGAUGUUAGCGGCGGACGGGUGAGUAACACGUGGCUAACCUACCUAUAAGACUGGGAUAACUUCGGGAAACCGGAGCUAAUACCGGAUAAUAUUUUGAACCGCAUGGUUCAAAAGUGAAAGACGGUCUUGCUGUCACUUAUAGAUGGAUCCGCGCUGCAUUAGCUAGUUGGUAAGGUAACGGCUUACCAAGGCAACGAUGCAUAGCCGACCUGAGAGGGUGAUCGGCCACACUGGAACUGAGACACGGUCCAGACUCCUACGGGAGGCAGCAGUAGGGAAUCUUCCGCAAUGGGCGAAAGCCUGACGGAGCAACGCCGCGUGAGUGAUGAAGGUCUUCGGAUCGUAAAACUCUGUUAUUAGGGAAGAACAUAUGUGUAAGUAACUGUGCACAUCUUGACGGUACCUAAUCAGAAAGCCACGGCUAACUACGUG